Molecule: long non-coding RNA, 201 nt
Filed under: Homo sapiens (human)
Lineage: Eukaryota; Metazoa; Chordata; Mammalia; Primates; Hominidae
Description: HSALNT0276712
Source: RNAcentral
GUCCCUUCUCCCCUAGUGUGGGGGUCUGUGGGCUCCCCAGGGUAGUGCUUAAGCACUUUGCAAGAGGUGCAGGCUGCUCAUUUCUCCGAUUCCCAGUUCCCUCUGUUUCCUGGGAGGGACGCUUUGCUGCAGCUUCACCUGCUUAUCCCUACUCUCUACAGCUAGAUCAUUGUCCAGGCCUUAAGCUCUGUCAGUCGGGCA